Molecule: ribosomal RNA, 416 nt
Filed under: uncultured bacterium
Lineage: Bacteria
Description: bacterial SSU rRNA
Rfam family: Bacterial small subunit ribosomal RNA
Source: RNAcentral
UGGGGAAUAUUGCACAAUGGGAACCGUACUGCAGCAACGCCGCGUGAAGGAAGACGGUUUUUCGGAUUGUAAAACUUCUUUUCUUAGUGAAGAAACAAAUGACGGUAGCUAAGGAAUAAGCAUCGGCUAACUACGUGCCAGCAGCCGCGGUAAUACGUAGGAUGCGAGCGUUAUCCGGAUUUACUGGGUGUAAAGGGAGCGCAGGCGGGACUGCAAGUUGGAUGUGAAAUACCGCAGCUUAACUGCGGAGCUGCAUCCAAAACUGUAGUUCUUGAGUGGAGUAGAGGCAAGCGGAAUUCCGAGUGUAGCGGUGAAAUGCGUAGAUAUUCGGAGGAACACCAGUGGCGAAGGCGGCUUGCUGGGCUCUAACUGACGCUGAGGCUCGAAAGUGUGGGGAGCAAACAGGAUUAGAUACC